GACGAACGCUGGCGGCGUGCCUAAUGCAUGCAAGUCGAGCGCAGGAAACUGACGGAACUCUUCGGAGGGAAGGCAGUGGAAUGAGCGGCGGACGGGUGAGUAACACGUAAGGAACCUGCCUCAAGGAUUGGGAUAACUCCGAGAAAUCGGAGCUAAUACCGGAUAGUUCAACGGACCGCAUGGUCCGCCGAUGAAAGGCGCUCCGGCGUCACCUUGAGAUGGCCUUGCGGUGCAUUAGCUAGUUGGUGGGGUAACGGCCCACCAAGGCGACGAUGCAUAGCCGACCUGAGAGGGUGAUCGGCCACACUGGGACUGAGACACGGCCCAGACUCCUACGGGAGGCAGCAGUAGGGAAUCUUCCACAAUGGACGAAAGUCUGAUGGAGCAACGCCGCGUGAGUGAUGAAGGUUUUCGGAUCGUAAAACUCUGUUGUAAGGGAAGAACACGUACGAGAGGAAGUGCUCGUACCUUGACGGUACCUUACGAGAAAGCCACGGCUAACUACGUGCCAGCCGCCGCGGUAA
This 524-nucleotide ribosomal RNA is filed under the name uncultured bacterium. RNAcentral's name for it is "partial 16S ribosomal RNA". It matches the Rfam family "Bacterial small subunit ribosomal RNA", at positions 28 to 523 of the family's 1533-position model. The record is from RNAcentral.